GUAGGGUGCGAGCGUUAAUCGGAAUUACUGGGCGUAAAGCGUGCGCAGGCGGUUAUGUAAGACAGAUGUGAAAUCCCCGGGCUCAACCUGGGAACUGCAUUAGUGACUGCAUAGCUGGAGUACGGCAGAGGGGGAUGGAAUUCCGCGUGUAGCAGUGAAAUGCGUAGAUAUGCGGAGGAACACCGAUGGCGAAGGCAAUCCCCUGGGCCUGUACUGACGCUCAUGCACGAAAGCGUGGGGAGCAAACAGGAUUAGAUACCCUGGUAGUCCACGCCCUAAACGAUGUCAACUGGUUGUUGGGUCUUCACUGACUCAGUAACGAAGCUAACGCGUGAAGUUGACCGCCUGGGGAGUACGGCCGCAAGGUUG
This 369-nucleotide ribosomal RNA is filed under the name uncultured bacterium. Its description in RNAcentral is "bacterial SSU rRNA". It matches the Rfam family "Bacterial small subunit ribosomal RNA", at positions 527 to 896 of the family's 1533-position model. The record is from RNAcentral.